GCAGUCGCCGCGGUAAUACGUAGGUGGCAAGCGUUGUCCGGAAUUAUUGGGCGUAAAGGGCUCGCAGGCGGUUUCUUAAGUCUGAUGUGAAAGCCCCCGGCUCAACCGGGGAGGGUCAUUGGAAACUGGGAAACUUGAGUGCGGAAGAGGAGAGUGGAAUUCCACGUGUAGCGGUGAAAUGCGUAGAGAUGUGGAGGAACACCAGUGGCGAAGGCGACUCUCUGGUCUGUAACUGACGCUGAGGAGCGAAAGCGUGGGGAGCGAACAGGAUUAGAUACCCCAGUAGUCCCUGUCUCUUAUAC
This 302-nucleotide ribosomal RNA is filed under the name uncultured bacterium. RNAcentral describes it as "partial 16S ribosomal RNA". It matches the Rfam family "Bacterial small subunit ribosomal RNA", at positions 508 to 807 of the family's 1533-position model. The record is from RNAcentral.